This 253-nucleotide ribosomal RNA is filed under the name uncultured bacterium. Its description in RNAcentral is "partial 16S ribosomal RNA". It matches the Rfam family "Bacterial small subunit ribosomal RNA", at positions 524 to 776 of the family's 1533-position model. The record is from RNAcentral.
UACGGGGGGGGCAAGCGUUGUUCGGAAUUACUGGGCGUAAAGGGCUCGUAGGCGGCCAACUAAGUCAGACGUGAAAUCCCUCGGCUUAACCGGGGAACUGCGUCUGAUACUGGAUGGCUUGAGAUUGGGAGAGGGAUGCGGAAUUCCAGGUGUAGCGGUGAAAUGCGUAGAUAUCUGGAGGAACACCGGUGGCGAAGGCGGCAUCCUGGACCAACACUGACGCUGAGGUGCGAAAGCGUGGGGAGCAAACAGG